AUUGAACGCUGGCGGCAUGCUUUACACAUGCAAGUCGAACGGCAGCGGGGGGGUGCUUGCUUCUCUGCCGGCGAGUGGCGAACGGGUGAGUAAUACAUCGGAACGAGUCGAGAAGAGGGGGAUAACCACCCGAAAGGGUGGCUAAUACCGCAUAAAUUCUGCGGUAAAAAGCUGGGGACCUAGGAAUAGGCCUAGCGCUUUUUGAGCGGCAGAUGUCGGAUUAGCUAGUUGGUGAGGUAAAGGCUCACCAAGGAGAAGAUCGGUAGCGAGUAUGAGAGGAUGAUCCGCCACACUGGCACUGAGACACGGCCCAGACUCCUACGGGAGGCAGCAGUGGGGAAUUUUGGACAAUGGGGGAAAGCCUGAUCCAGCCAUGCCGCGUGUAUGAAGAAGGACUUAGGGUUGUAAAGUACUGUUGUUAGGGAAGAAAAGUCAGCUGUGAAUAAUGGCUGAUACUGACGGUACCUAAAGAAUAAGCACCGGCUAACUACGUG
Molecule: ribosomal RNA, 494 nt
Filed under: uncultured bacterium
Lineage: Bacteria
Description: partial 16S ribosomal RNA
Rfam family: Bacterial small subunit ribosomal RNA
Source: RNAcentral